UUCCAUUCUGCUGGGUUGCCACCACAUACUGCUAGAUAUCACUAGUGGAUUGUGAGACUCGAAGGCAUUCACUUGAUGAUCAGUGAACCCUGAGAGUAGAACUGAAAUCGUUUCAAUCCACUGAAAGGAGUUUCAAUGAUAUUGAGAUGGAGAUCUCAAUAUGUCUCACUACCAGUCAAAAUAGAAUCUAUGGGGUCACACACAUAGAGGAUUUAAUUAGUUAGACUAUCAUAAUUAUGAUUUGGAAUCACAAUAGAAAUCAAUCAUCAAUAUGAUUGGUGAUUGAAUUAACCCACUAA
Molecule: long non-coding RNA, 299 nt
Filed under: Phoenix dactylifera (date palm)
Lineage: Eukaryota; Viridiplantae; Streptophyta; Magnoliopsida; Arecales; Arecaceae
Description: long non-coding RNA (PDAC_LNC018498)
Source: RNAcentral